This 301-nucleotide ribosomal RNA is filed under the name uncultured bacterium. RNAcentral's name for it is "partial 16S ribosomal RNA". It matches the Rfam family "Bacterial small subunit ribosomal RNA", at positions 509 to 807 of the family's 1533-position model. The record is from RNAcentral.
CAGUAGCCACGGUAAUACGGAGGGUGCAAGCGUUAAUCGGAAUUACUGGGCGUAAAGCGCACGCAGGCGGUCUGUCAAGUCAGAUGUGAAAUCCCCGGGCUUAACCUGGGAACUGCAUUUGAAACUGGCAGACUGGAGUCUUGUAGAGGGGGGUAGAAUUCCAGGUGUAGCGGUGAAAUGCGUAGAGAUCUGGAGGAAUACCGGUGGCGAAGGCGGCCCCCUGGACAAAGACUGACGCUCAGGUGCGAAAGCGUGGGGAGCAAACAGGAUUAGAUACCCCGGUAGUCCCUGUCUCUUAUAC